This 296-nucleotide signal recognition particle RNA is filed under the name Phascolarctos cinereus (koala). Its description in RNAcentral is "Metazoan signal recognition particle RNA (ENSPCIG00000013477.2)". It matches the Rfam family "Metazoan signal recognition particle RNA". Rfam says of the family: The signal recognition particle (SRP) is a universally conserved ribonucleoprotein. Lineage: Eukaryota; Metazoa; Chordata; Mammalia; Diprotodontia; Phascolarctidae. The record is from RNAcentral.
GCCAAGUAUGGCAACUCAUGCUGUAAUCUUAGCUACUGGGCAUAUUGAGGCUGGUGUAUACCUUGAGCCUCUGGAGUUUUGAGCUGCAGUGGGCUAUGUCAAUUGGGUAUUUACACUAAAUUCAAUUGCAAUAUGGUGAGCCCCUGGGACUAUAGGGUAAACUGGUUGCCUAAGGAGGGGUGAAUUGAACCCAGAUCAGAAAUAGAGCAGGUCAAAGCUUCCAAUCAGUAGUAAGAUUGGGCCCAUAAAUAAUUCCUGUACUUCCAGCCUGGGCAAGAUAGGGAAACCCAAUCUCU